This 593-nucleotide small RNA is filed under the name Pan troglodytes (chimpanzee). RNAcentral's name for it is "processed transcript". Lineage: Eukaryota; Metazoa; Chordata; Mammalia; Primates; Hominidae. The record is from RNAcentral.
AACUCCCCUCCUCCCCCAGCACAAGGCAAAGGGCACCCCUUGCUGUGAGUUUGGGGGCACCGGCUGUCGGGGGCCGACCCAGAACUUUGCGGGGUCCCCUGAGGGACCCGUGGCGGGACCGGCCCCGGGUUCGUCAAAUUCCGCCGAUGCUUUCAGGAGGCUGAUUAAACAAAGGACAAGAUUGGAGUGGGAAAUGAGAGGCUCUUAAAAGUGGAAGCUUUUUGUUUGUCCAUUUACAAGAAAUUGGACAAUGAAUCACUUCAGGAAGAUGGAGGUCAUCAACCUCACCACCCUACCUGUGAUACCAGUGGAUGAGCACCUGGCUGUCUCGCUUGUCGCACGGAAUACAAUGGUGAAGACUGUGAGGAAGGAGUUAGAGAACAGUCCACCCUCAUGCCUUAUUGGCUCCAUGCACCAGGUGAACCAAAAGAUUGCUGACAUAAAUCUGCGUACCGAGCCGUCGGCCAACAGCCUGUCAAGAGACAAAGGAAAUCUCAGUAUUCCUGCAAAGGCUCCGAACUCAGACAUGCCAGAUCUUCUGUUAUAAAAAGGAAAACAGCAGAUAAAAAUCUGCUGGCAGAGCUGUACCAGUA